UGGGGAAUCUUGCGCAAUGGGCGAAAGCCUGACGCAGCAACGCCGCGUGAGGGAUGAAGGCCUUCGGGUUGUAAACCUCUUUCAGUAGGGAAGAAGCGAAAGUGACGGUACCUGCAGAAGAAGCGCCGGCUAACUACGUGCCAGCAGCCGCGGUAAUACGCAGGUCCCAAGCGUUGUUCGGAAUCACUGGGCGUAAAGGGUGGGUAGGCGGUUUGGUAAGUCAGAUGUGAAAUCCCGGGGCCCAACCCC
This 249-nucleotide ribosomal RNA is filed under the name uncultured bacterium. RNAcentral describes it as "partial 16S ribosomal RNA". It matches the Rfam family "Bacterial small subunit ribosomal RNA", at positions 355 to 616 of the family's 1533-position model. The record is from RNAcentral.